RNAcentral lists this ribosomal RNA (301 nucleotides) under uncultured bacterium. RNAcentral describes it as "partial 16S ribosomal RNA". It matches the Rfam family "Bacterial small subunit ribosomal RNA", at positions 509 to 809 of the family's 1533-position model. The record is from RNAcentral.
CAGCCGCCGCGGGAAAACGAAGGGGGCUAGCGUUGCUCGGAAUUACUGGGCGUAAAGGGAGCGUAGGCGGACAUUUAAGUCAGGGGUGAAAUCCCAGAGCUCAACUCUGGAACUGCCUUUGAUACUGGGUGUCUUGAGUGUGAUAGAGGUAUGUGGAACUCCGAGUGUAGAGGUGAAAUUCGUAGAUAUUCGGAAGAACACCAGUGGCGAAGGCGACAUACUGGAUCAUUACUGACGCUGAGGCUCGAAAGCGUGGGGAGCAAACAGGAUUAGAUACCCCUGUAGUCCCUGUCUCUUAUAU